This 1453-nucleotide ribosomal RNA is filed under the name Dibaeis baeomyces. Its description in RNAcentral is "eukaryotic LSU rRNA". It matches the Rfam family "Eukaryotic large subunit ribosomal RNA", at positions 82 to 1447 of the family's 3401-position model. The record is from RNAcentral. Lineage: Eukaryota; Fungi; Ascomycota; Lecanoromycetes; Pertusariales; Icmadophilaceae.
AGUAACGGCGAGUGAAGCGGCAACAGCUCAAAUUUGAAAUCUGACUUCGGUCCGAGUUGUAAUUUGCAGAGGGAAUUUGGAAAGCGACACUGGCCUAAGUCCCUUGGAACAGGGCGUCAUAGAGGGUGAGAAUCCCGUAUGUGGCCAGAGGUCAAUUUCAUGUCAAAUCCCUUCGACGAGUCGAGUUGUUUGGGAAUGCAGCUCAAAAUGGGUGGUAAAUUUCAUCUAAAGCUAAAUACCGGCCAGAGACCGAUAGCGCACAAGUAGAGUGAUCGAAAGAUGAAAAGCACUUUGGAAAGAGAGUUAAACAGUACGUGAAAUUGUUGAAAGGGAAGCGCUUGCCAUUAGACCGAUUCACCGGUUGCAGUCGGAGGCAACUCUGGACGUAAAGCACCGGUAUUUCGGCCAGCAUCGGUUUGGGUGGUUUGACAAAGACGCACAGAACGUGGCUCUUCGGAGUGUUAUAGCUGUGUGUGUAAUGAAAUCUCCCCGGACCGAGGACCGCGCUUCGGCUAGGAUGCUGGCGUAAUGAUGGCAAGCGACCCGUCUUGAAACACGGACCAAGGAGUCGAUCAUCUAUGCGAGUGUUUGGGUGUUAAACCCAUACGCGGAAUGAAAGUGAACGGAGGUGAGAACCGUAAGGUGCAUCAUCGACCGAUCCUGAUGUCUUCGGAUGGAUUUGAGUAGGAGCAUAGCCGAUCGGACCCGAAAGAUGGUGAACUAUGCGUGAAUAGGGUGAAGCCAGAGGAAACUCUGGUGGAGGCUCGCAGCGGUUCUGACGUGCAAAUCGAUCGUCAAAUUUGCGCAUAGGUACGUUGACCUUGCAAUCUUACCUUUGGGAGUCUAUGCUAACAGAAAUAUAGGGGCGAAAGACCGUAAGCAUCAACCUUGGAAGUGUUUUCUUUUUAUAUUUGCUGACCAAAAUUUUUAGNNNNNNNNAAUCGAACUAUCUAGUAGCUGGUUCCUGCCGAAGUUUCCCUCAGGAUAGCAGUAACGUUUUCAGUUUUAUGAGGUAAAGCGAAUGAUUAGAGGCCUUGGGGUUGAAACAACCUUAACCUAUUCUCAAACUUUAAAUAUGUAAGAGGUCAUUGUUGCUUAAUUGAACGAUGACAUUGGAAUGUAUCGUUACUAGUGGGCCAUUUUUGGUAAGCAGAACUGGCGAUGCGGGAUGAACCGAACGUGAGGUUAAGGUGCCGGACUAUACGCUCAUCAGACACCACAAAAGGUGUUAGUUCAUCUAGACAGUUGGACGGUGGCCAUGGAAGUCGGAAUCCGCUAAGGAGUGUGUAACAACUCACCAACCGAAUGAACUAGCCCUGAAAAUGGAUGGCGCUCAAGCGUGUGACCCAUACCUCACCGUCAGGGUAGAUACGAUGCCCUGACGAGUAGGCAGGCGUUGAGAUCCGUGACGAAGCCUUGGGCGUGAGCCCGGGUCGAACGGUCUCAAGUGCAG